UGUUAAAAUUUUAUCUAUUUAUACUAUUAAAAAUUGACAUGUUUAUUGGAAUUGCCAUACAGUGAUAUGUAUUGUGCUAUGGAUAUCUCAUGCUGACAUACAAGAAUCAGCUUUUAACAACAUAAAUAGAUGAAAUUUUUAAUA
Molecule: non-coding RNA, 144 nt
Organism: Gossypium hirsutum (cotton)
Lineage: Eukaryota; Viridiplantae; Streptophyta; Magnoliopsida; Malvales; Malvaceae
Source: Rfam